This 16-nucleotide small RNA is filed under the name Arabidopsis thaliana (thale cress). RNAcentral describes it as "ATSL132650". Lineage: Eukaryota; Viridiplantae; Streptophyta; Magnoliopsida; Brassicales; Brassicaceae. The record is from RNAcentral.
UAUGUUUUUCUAAAAA